GGGUUGUGAGGUUAAGCGACCAAGCGUACACGGUGGAUGCCCUGGCAGUCAGAGGCGAUGAAGGACGUGCUAAUCUGCGAAAAGCGCCGGUAAGGUGAUAUGAACCGUUAUAGCCGGCGAUGUCCGAAUGGGGAAACCCAGUGUGAUUCGUCACACUAUCAUUAACUGAAUCCAUAGGUUAAUGAGGCGAACCGGGGGAACUGAAACAU
Molecule: ribosomal RNA, 209 nt
Filed under: Salmonella enterica
Lineage: Bacteria; Pseudomonadati; Pseudomonadota; Gammaproteobacteria; Enterobacterales; Enterobacteriaceae
Description: partial 23S ribosomal RNA
Rfam family: Bacterial large subunit ribosomal RNA
Source: RNAcentral